CCUACGGGUGGCAGCAGUGGGGAAUAUUGCACAAUGGGGGAAACCCUGAUGCAGCAACGCCGCGUGAGUGAAGAAGUCAUUCGUGAUGUAAAGCUCUAUCAGCAGGGAAGAAAAUGACGGUACCUGCCUAAUAAGCCCCGUCUAACUACGAGCCACCAGCCGCGGUAAUACGUCGGGGGCAAGCGUUAUCCGGCUUUACUGGGGGUAAAGGGAGCGUAGACGGCGACGCAAGUCUGAAGUGAAAUGCCAGUGCGCAACACUGGAACUGCUUUGGAAACUGUGUAGCUAGAGUGCAGGAGAGGUAAGUGGAAUUCCUAGGGUAGCGGUGAAAUGCGUAGAUAUUAGGAGGAACACCAGUGGCGAAGGCGGCUUACUGGACUGUAACUGACGUUGAGGCUCGAAGGCGUGGGGAGCAAACAGGAUUAGAUACCCGUGUAGUC
This 440-nucleotide ribosomal RNA is filed under the name uncultured bacterium. RNAcentral describes it as "partial 16S ribosomal RNA". It matches the Rfam family "Bacterial small subunit ribosomal RNA", at positions 338 to 795 of the family's 1533-position model. The record is from RNAcentral.